GAGUAGCUCAGAGGAUAGAGCGCCGGUUUCCUAAACCGAAGGUCGUCGGUUCGAAUCCGACCU
Molecule: transfer RNA, 63 nt
Filed under: bovine gut metagenome
Rfam family: tRNA
About the family: Transfer RNA (tRNA) molecules are approximately 80 nucleotides in length. Their secondary structure includes four short double-helical elements and three loops (D, anti-codon, and T loops). Further hydrogen bonds mediate the characteristic L-shaped molecular structure. tRNAs have two regions of fundamental functional importance: the anti-codon, which is responsible for specific mRNA codon recognition, and the 3' end, to which the tRNAs corresponding amino acid is attached (by aminoacyl-tRNA synthetases). tRNAs cope with the degeneracy of the genetic code in two manners: having more than one tRNA (with a specific anti-codon) for a particular amino acid; and 'wobble' base-pairing, i.e. permitting non-standard base-pairing at the 3rd anti-codon position.
Source: RNAcentral